AAAAAUAUAAUGAAUUAUUUAAAUUUUGCAAAGUACAAGACAAAUAACAUAAAGAAAAUUCUUUAUGUAUACAUCGAAAUACUGAAUUCUAUUAAGAGCAGUAUCUACAAUUUAAUUUUUAUAAUUAAAAAGUCACUUACCACCACGUCGACCGUGCCACAGAUCAACGACAGGCAGAUCGUCUGAAAGAAAUCGGUAAGAUAUGUCGACUGUCGUUGACAUACGUUACGAAGGUAUACUCAAGUGUCUUAAAUUUACAACAGUGAUACUAACAUGUUAUUUAAAAUUCACUAGCAGAAGCAACUUAGCUCGAUGAAAGCACGGUUACAUAAACAGGUCUCGACACUCUCUAGAGAAAAGCGCUCAAAAUUUGAGUCGUGAAAAAUCAAUAUGGAAGACGAUAAAGUUCUUGUUAUUACAAGACAAACAAAGAUGCAUAGAAUGCCUCUGUUUCUGUCUGAGACAUGCAUAGCAUGUCAUGCACGCACUGGAUGGAAACCAUUUUGCUUUCCAUAUUGAUUUGUCUCGACUCAAUCUUUGAGCGAUUUCUGCCAUGCUUUCGCCCACUUUCAGUAUGAGUAUCGAGACCUGUUUAUAUGAUCCCAGAUGGAGGUUUCUGCGUUUUUUAAACUUUUACGUACAACUUCAUACAAUAGAAGAAGAUAGCCAGGAUAUAAGGAACAAAAAGUGUCCUUGAACCGAUUUUUAUCAUGCAUCAUUGUGGUGCACCGUUCAAUAACUCACUAAAAGAAAACAUCGUAAAUUAAUUUUCAGCGCUCUAUCUUUACCAGAAGGGUAGUUACAGAGUGAAUUCGAAUUAUCUCUUUUUAUCCUAUUUUCCAAAUUUAAUGGCAUGCAAAAAUUCUGGGUUAUUAUAGACACAUUAGUGUUGAAGCGCAAAAAAAUACUGAAAAAUGUAGAUUUCGCAUAGCAGUUUAGAGCGAUCACUGUUUUAUUAUUAUAGUAGCGACAUGUUAGCAUGACUAUUAUUCUCAACCUUAAGACUCAACUCAAGACCGACGAUCUUUCGCGAACCAUACAUAUUUAGUAAUCACUGAUCUUUUACCUGAAGAGACACAUUACAUCGGAGCAGGACAAUAAAGUAAUAAAGUAAUAAGGUCUUAAGUUGAAUUAAAUAAUGUGGUUUAACUUGUGUUGUAAUUUAAAGAUAAUGAAAUGCAGGAGACACUGGUAAAAUAUUGUUUUUCUAUUGAAAAGGCUAUCAAUACGUUUACUUGUACCAUUGAAUAUUAAAAUAUUGAAGUAAACAAAAAACGAUACGAAAGUUUUGAAUUACAAACUAUGACAGUUUUAGAUGAAUAACAUUAUAGAAAAAUUACAUAUACUGUUAUGUGAAAUUAGAAUUAUUUGAUGAAUAUGUUAUACUUACCUAAGUGGAAAGAUACGCUUCAAUCACGAAACAACACUUUGAGUAGGUAUAAGAAUGGACCAGGGAAAAAAAUGGAAUAAAAAUUAAGCUAAAAGGUUUACAUUCAGCAAAUUCCUUAAUUUUCCCAAAUAUUUUCACAACAUGACAAUUAUAAUUGAGCAUAAGAUCGAAAACACUAGAUGGAAGGUUGCUACAUAUAAGAAUAAGCCAUUUUUACGGAUGAAUCUCUGAUAUACUUUUACAAUAGAUGUAGAGGCUUGCUAACUCAUUUUGACGAAAGCUGCCUCCAAUUAUCCAUACCAUUAUACGCCAUUAUCUCUAAAGCAAUUACUUUUCAAUUUGAAAAAGAAUGAUAGUUUUUCCCAAUGUAUUGUCUUCAGAAUCCCUACAUAAAAGAAAAGAUCAUAAAUAUGAAAAUAAUAAUUUUCAAAAGGAAUGAAUACCAUUCCCAUCCAUUUACUCAAAAUCAGAAGAUCUAAUACUGAUUUUAUACAUUUAUAUAAUAUAUAAAAUGUUAGAGAAUAUCCGUAACAGUAAAACAAUACGUGGUUGAAGGAUCGACAGAUUAAAAUAUGUUCCAAAAUUAUUUGCAUGUACAUUUUAUGAUAAAAUAUUCCUAAAAUACUUUUAAAACAUUUUUAAAUGAACGCCGUUUGUUGUCAUGUAGCAAAUAAUGAGAAGAAAAUCGAUGUAAUAACAAAAAAGUGGAUCGCUGUGACGUGCACGAACCUGCGAUAAAAAAUUUCACAGCGGUACCAUAAAGGAAUAUACAAAAUACCUUAAUCGCUCUGCUAUCCACAACGUUGAAUGAGAAACUGAUACUCAUAUGGUACAAGAUAAGGAAUAUAUAUACUUUUUCAAUUGAUUAAAUCAAUUUAAUUCCUUUUAUUUGUAUAUUACUUUUUCGAACGCACAAAUAUUAAAAAUCAUACAAUAUACUCACUGCGUAAAAAGAAUACAAAAUUUAAAAAUAUUAAUCACAUUUCUACCUGAAAAUCUUCAAGGAAAUUGGUUUUUGAUUUUUUUAACUGCGACACACCUUUCCAAAAAAUCUAGGAAGGGUUGAGAAUAACAGUCAUACUGACAUGUCGCUACUAUAAAGAUAAGAGUGAUCGUUCUAAAACUUAUAUACGAAUCCACAUUUUUCAGUAUUUUUAAUUUUUUUUCACGUAAGGUUCGCAUCGAAAAAAUCUAAAAGAAGUUUUCAACAUACAUAAUCGUAUCUAUAAUGAUGUAGAAUUUUUGUAUGUUAUUAAAUAGGGAAAAUAAGAUAAAGACGGAUAAUUCAAAUUCAUUCUGUAACUAUUACCAUUUUGGUCGAGGUAAAGGAUUGAAAAUUGCCUUACGAUGUUUUCUUUUGGUAAGCUUACCUUUUGGUACGGUACAGUAAAACCGGUUCACGUACACUUUCGAG
Bombus pyrosoma is the source of this 2804-nucleotide long non-coding RNA. RefSeq lists it as uncharacterized. The transcript is spliced from 3 exons. The record is from RefSeq and is a predicted model, not a curated record. Lineage: Eukaryota; Metazoa; Arthropoda; Insecta; Hymenoptera; Apidae.